UUGACCUCAAAUCGGGUGAGACUACCCGCU
This 30-nucleotide ribosomal RNA is filed under the name Lactarius nanus. Its description in RNAcentral is "partial 28S ribosomal RNA". Lineage: Eukaryota; Fungi; Basidiomycota; Agaricomycetes; Russulales; Russulaceae. The record is from RNAcentral. RNAcentral also lists the same sequence under 1 other name.